UACGUAGGGAGCAAGCGUUGUCCGGAUUUACUGGGUGUAAAGGGUGCGUAGGCGGCACUGCAAGUCAGGCGUGAAAGGCGGAGGCUUAACCUCCGAGUUGCGUUUGAAACUGUGGUGCUUGAGUGAAGUAGAGGUAGGCGGAAUUCCCGGUGUAGCGGUGAAAUGCGUAGAGAUCGGGAGGAACACCAGUGGCGAAGGCGGCCUACUGGGCUUUAACUGACGCUGAGGCACGAAAGCAUGGGUAGCAAACAGG
Molecule: ribosomal RNA, 253 nt
Filed under: uncultured bacterium
Lineage: Bacteria
Description: partial 16S ribosomal RNA
Rfam family: Bacterial small subunit ribosomal RNA
Source: RNAcentral